This 274-nucleotide ribosomal RNA is filed under the name uncultured bacterium. RNAcentral's name for it is "partial 16S ribosomal RNA". It matches the Rfam family "Bacterial small subunit ribosomal RNA", at positions 523 to 796 of the family's 1533-position model. The record is from RNAcentral.
AGACGUAGGGGGCUAGCGUUGCCCGGAUUCACUGGGCGUAAAGCGCGCGUAGGCGGUUCGGCAAGUCGCCCGUGAAAGCCCCUGGCUCAACUGGGGGAGGUCGGGCGAUACUGCCGGGCUAGAGGGCGGCAGAGGGAGGUGGAACGGCCGGAGUAGCGGUGAAAUGCGUAGAUACCGGCCGGAAUCCCGAUGGCGAAGGCAACCUCCUGGGCCGUUCCUGACGCUGAGGCGCGAAAGCUGGGGAAGCGAACCGGAUUAGAUACCCUAGUAGUCC